Molecule: long non-coding RNA, 700 nt
Organism: Solanum pennellii
Lineage: Eukaryota; Viridiplantae; Streptophyta; Magnoliopsida; Solanales; Solanaceae
Exons: 2
Source: RefSeq, a predicted model, not a curated record
UUUUUCUUCUAAUUUUUCUUGUAUUAAGAUGGCACUAACACAAUCUUUCUAUUGCCUAUAAACAGUCAAGUACAUCAAUGAUUUCUUCUGUUUGAGCUAGUACAUCAUGUUUACACCAAAAGGAGAUCUUUCAUCUCUCCACCAUCUCUGUUGCAUUGCCAUCCCUGUUCCAGCUGCUUAGAACUCCUUUAAUGGUCCCAGGUCUUACCCACUUGAUCCUCUUCAUGAACAUUCUCCAUAGUUGCUCUGUCAAUUUUGCAAUGCAAGAAAAGGUGGUUGAUUGUCUUUGUUUGCUCCCCACACAAAACAAAUCUGGAAGCCAACAUUUGUGAACUUAUCAUUCGUCCACAAACUAAGUUCCUAAAGGGGAAGUGGGAUGUUUAUACAAGUCAGAGUAAAUUAAUAAAGUCUAAUUGUAAAUUUGCAAAUGCAGCAUCAGAUAAUGAUUUUAAAGUCAAAAAACACUGAGAAAUAUCAAGAUUAAAAGAACUUGAUGUGAAAAGCGAGUAGUGCAGUGCACACUUCUUUGAGCCGAAGCGCACGGCUUAUAGAAAAUAAAGAAGUACCAAACAUAUAUCAAUGUAGUUAUUUUGUAGCAGUAGUCAUUGAUGUAUUAGUGUAAGUAAAUACAGUCCAUUUAAUCGCAGAAACUAUCAAAAUCAAAGAACUUCAUUCUCGAUUCGACGAGAAUUCUUAUGAA